Molecule: ribosomal RNA, 256 nt
Filed under: uncultured bacterium
Lineage: Bacteria
Description: partial 16S ribosomal RNA
Rfam family: Bacterial small subunit ribosomal RNA
Source: RNAcentral
UACGAAGGGGGGCUAGCGUUGUUCGGAAUUACUGGGCGUAAAGGGCGCGUAGGCGGCGUGUCAAGUCAGGCGUGAAAGCCCCCGGGCUCAACCUGGGAACCGCGCUUGAGACUGGCAUGCUCGAGUUCGGGAGAGGAUGGUGGAAUUCCCAGUGUAGAGGUGAAAUUCGUAGAUAUUGGGAAGAACACCGAUGGCGAAGGCAGCCAUCUGGACCGACACUGACGCUGAGGCGCGAAAGCGUGGGGGAGCAAACAGG